Mycena capillaripes is the source of this 91-nucleotide non-coding RNA. The record is from the annotation of a GenBank genome assembly. Lineage: Eukaryota; Fungi; Basidiomycota; Agaricomycetes; Agaricales; Mycenaceae.
UACCCGAUGGCACAUGGUGUGUGCCUGCUUCAAUUAUUGAUGUCCAUAAUCCACCAAGCAGGAGGUCCCCGUUCGAUUCGGGGUCGGGUGA